This 770-nucleotide ribosomal RNA is filed under the name uncultured Methanosaeta sp. Its description in RNAcentral is "bacterial SSU rRNA". It matches the Rfam family "Archaeal small subunit ribosomal RNA", at positions 27 to 802 of the family's 1478-position model. The record is from RNAcentral. Lineage: Archaea; Methanobacteriati; Methanobacteriota; Methanomicrobia; Methanotrichales; Methanotrichaceae.
CUGCUAUCGAGGUUCGACUAAGCCAUGCGAGUCGAAUGUAGCAAUACAUGGCGAACUGCUCAGUAACACGUGGACAACCUGCCCUUAGGUUGGGUAUAAACCCGGGAAACUGGGUAUAAUACCCGAUAGGUCUCGAUUGCUGGAAUGCAUCGAGAUUUAAAGCUCCGGCGCCUAAGGAUGGGUCUGCGGCCUAUCAGGUAGUAGUGGGUGUAGCGUACCUACUAGCCUACGACGGGUACGGGUUGUGAGAGCAAGAGCCCGGAGAUGGAUUCUGAGACACGAAUCCAGGCCCUACGGGGUGCAGCAGGCGCGAAAACUUUACAAUGCUGGCAACAGCGAUAAGGGAACCUCGAGUGCCAGGUUACAAAUCUGGCUGUCGAGAUGCCUAAAAAGCAUUUCAUAGCAAGGGCCGGGCAAGACCGGUGCCAGCCGCCGCGGUAACACCGGCGGCUCGAGUGGUAACCGUUAUUAUUGGGUCUAAAGGGUCUGUAGCCGGCCGGAUAAGUCUCUUGAGAAAUCUGGCAGCUUAACUGUCAGGCUUUCAGGAGAUACUGUCUGGCUCGAGGCCGGGAGAGGUGAGAGGUACUUCAGGGGUAGGGGUGAAAUCUUGUAAUCCUUGAAGGACCACCAGUGGCGAAGGCGUCUCACCAGAACGGACCUGACGGCAAGGGACGAAAGCUAGGGGCACGAACCGGAUUAGAUACCCGGGUAGUCCUAGCCGUAAACGAUACUCGCUAGGUGUCGGCCACGGUGCGACCGUUGUCGGUGCC